This 514-nucleotide ribosomal RNA is filed under the name uncultured bacterium. RNAcentral's name for it is "bacterial SSU rRNA". It matches the Rfam family "Bacterial small subunit ribosomal RNA", at positions 19 to 518 of the family's 1533-position model. The record is from RNAcentral.
AUGGCUCAGGAUAAACGCUGGCGGCGUGCUUAACACAUGCAAGUCGAACGGAGUGGUCUCCCGAGGAUUGAAGGUGCUUGCACCUGAUUGACUCAUUUGAAUCACUUAGUGGCGGACGGGUGAGUAACGCGUGGGUAACCUGCCUCACACAGGGGGAUAACAGUUGGAAACGACUGUUAAUACCGCAUAAGCGCACAGUGCCGCAUGGUACAGUGUGAAAAACUCCGGUGGUGUGAGAUGGACCCGCGUCUGAUUAGCUAGUUGGCGAGGUAACGGCCCACCAAGGCAACGAUCAGUAGCCGGCCUGAGAGGGUGUACGGCCACAUUGGGACUGAGACACGGCCCAAACUCCUACGGGAGGCAGCAGUGGGGAAUAUUGGACAAUGGGGGAAACCCUGAUCCAGCCGGCGCCGCGUGAGUGAUGAAGUAUUUCGGUAUGUAAAGCUCUAUCAGCAGGGAAGAAAUUGACGGUACCUGACUAAGAAGCACCGGCUAAAUACGUGCCAGCCGCAGC